Dermochelys coriacea (leatherback sea turtle) is the source of this 1039-nucleotide long non-coding RNA. RefSeq lists it as uncharacterized. NCBI's taxonomy places the organism in Eukaryota, Metazoa, Chordata, Testudines, Dermochelyidae. The record is from RefSeq and is a predicted model, not a curated record. The transcript has 2 exons.
UGUCUAAUUUAAGAACAUGAGUAAUGAAGUCGGUGGGACUUCGCAUGGGCUUAGGUAGCUUGCUGAAUGGGCACCUGGGAAUAAAAUGGGUGUCGUGUUUUAGUAUCCAUAUGCAAACUUUUACUUUUGUUGUUUGUAUCUCCUUUGUUCUGUGCUGUCUGGUUACUUUCCCUUCUGUUUUUCAUCUUGAAAGAUCUUUUCUGCCAUUAACUUGUACUGGGUCUCCACUCUUCUCCUUCGGGCUUCCUACAAGAGACAAACCAUCAUGCUGAAAUCCCUGUCACAGACUUUUUGAAACCAUGAGAACAAACAGGAGGCUUAUUAAAACCUUACUCUCUCAAUUUCCAAUUGUUCAGGUUUUCUGUACUAUUAUUACUUGUUCCUCUCUCCCCAAGAGUGUUGGCUUCUAGUCCAGCACAGUGUACUAGAAUGGAACUUAAUAUAGAAAGACACACAUCCUCUGGACAGGAGAGUGAAGGUACUUGCCUCAUUUCCAUCUAAAUGGAAUUUAUUUUAAUCGGUUACGGUGUUAUUAUCCAUAAAGCUAUUCUGGCCACCUACAGCUUUUGUUUGUUUAAUGGAGAGUUGAAGAUCAUUAGAGCAGAGAGCUUUAUGAUGAGGGCACACUUUAUUCACUGUAUAAAAAUAACCCUGUAUAGAUGGGUACUUUACCUGAGAUUGUUUCUUUUUAAUUUCUUCAGCUAUACACUUAUUAAAUUCCAUCUGAUCAUGUGUGUCUCUUACUUGUUGCAGAUGAGCUAGUCUUUGCUGUCCUUUCUGCCUGUCCUCCUCUGCCAUAGUCUGCAUCUUCAGGUUUGUCCUCUGCUGUGCGAGUUGCUUUGUUUUCAUUGUCUGAUUCUGCUUUAGGUCUUGUUCUUUUACCACCUUAUCUUCAUUCUCAAAAUGCUGCAGCAGCUUUUUCCUGGAGGAGAAGAAAAACCCAGUGAGUUAAGCAUUGUUCUGAAAAGAUUCAGUGUUUUUGUCUGUUCUUCUCUUAGCCUCAAAAUAAAUACACCUGCCUCGUGUAGCUUUCUCAGUG